Magnolia sinica is the source of this 306-nucleotide long non-coding RNA. RefSeq lists it as uncharacterized. NCBI's taxonomy places the organism in Eukaryota, Viridiplantae, Streptophyta, Magnoliopsida, Magnoliales, Magnoliaceae. The record is from RefSeq and is a predicted model, not a curated record. The transcript has 3 exons.
GGAGAUCUAAUUCUCGUCUGGUUGAUUUGAUUUUGGUAGGAAUCGUCGUGGAGAUUCUGGUGUCAGUGAGCGGUUAGGAUUAUGCUGCAACAAGGAGGAUCGGUUUAGCAUGGGAUUUUGAACAACAGAAGGCAGAAGGCAGGUCUUGACUAAGGUUUACAUAUUUGGGGCUAGUGCUUUUUCAGGAUGAGGAGUGGCUCGAGCUGUUAGUGAGUUUGUAGUUGGCAAUCCGGUCAAGUGAGAUCUUACACAUUUGAUUCCAUGUUAGCAUUAUGUUGCUGGUUCUAUUUUAUAUUUGAAUGUUGU